Molecule: non-coding RNA, 69 nt
Organism: Podarcis lilfordi (Lilford's wall lizard)
Lineage: Eukaryota; Metazoa; Chordata; Lepidosauria; Squamata; Lacertidae
Source: the annotation of a GenBank genome assembly
GGAUAGCUCAUUCAGUAAAGCAUGAGACUCUUAAUCUCAGGGUUGUGGGUUUGAGCCCCACGUUGGGCA